CAGGUUGAUAGGUCUGAGGUGGAAGUGUGGCGACACAUGGAGCUGACAGAUACUAAUCGAUCGAGGACUUAACCUAA
RNAcentral lists this ribosomal RNA (77 nucleotides) under Bacillus licheniformis. RNAcentral's name for it is "partial 23S ribosomal RNA". Lineage: Bacteria; Bacillati; Bacillota; Bacilli; Caryophanales; Bacillaceae. The record is from RNAcentral. RNAcentral also lists the same sequence under 1 other name.